UAGAGUUUGAUCAUGGCUCAGAACGUACGCUGGCGGCACGCCUAACACAUGCAAGUCGAACGCAGUAGCAAUACUGAGUGGCAAACGGGUGAGUAUAAUGUGGGAAUCUGCCUUUUGGUUUGGAAUAACACGGGGAAACUUGUGCUAAUACCGAAUAAGCCUUUACAGGGAAAGUUUUAACGCCGAAAGAUGAGCCCGCACUUGAUUAGCUAGUUGGUAAGGUAAAAGCUUACCAAGGCAAUGAUCAAUAGCUGUUCUUAGAGGAAGACCAGCCACAUUGGGACUGAGACACGGCCCAGACUCCUACGGGAGGCAGCAGUGGGGAAUCUUGCACAAUGGGGGAAACCCUGAUGCAGCGAUGCCGCGUGAGUGAAGAAGGCCCUUGGGUUGUAAAACUCUUUCGUCGGGGAAGAAAAUGACUGUACCCGAAUAAGAAGGUCCGGCUAACUUCGUGCCAGCAGCCGCGGUAAUACGAAGGGACCUAGCGUAGUUCGGAAUUACUGGGCUUAAAGAGCUCGUAGGUGGUCAAAAAAGUUGAUGGUGAAAUCCCAAGGCUCAACCUUGGAACUGCCAUCAAAACUUUUUAGCUAGAGUGUGAUAGAGGUAAGUGGAAUUUCUAGUGUAGAGGUGAAAUUCGUAGAUAUUAGAAAGAACACCAAAUG
Molecule: ribosomal RNA, 662 nt
Filed under: uncultured bacterium
Lineage: Bacteria
Description: bacterial SSU rRNA
Rfam family: Bacterial small subunit ribosomal RNA
Source: RNAcentral